GUGNNGGGNNGCUUACCAUGCAGUCGAACGAUGAAGCCAGCUUGCUGGUGGAUUAGUGGCGAACGGGUGAGUAACACGUGAGUAACCUGCCCUUGACUCUGGGAUAAGCCUGGGAAACCGGGUCUAAUACUGGAUACGACCUUCCCACGCAUGUGGUGUUGGUGGAAAGCUUUUGUGGUUUUGGAUGGACUCGCGGCCUAUCAGCUUGUUGGUGGGGUAAUGGCCUACCAAGGCGACGACGGGUAGCCGGCCUGAGAGGGUGACCGGCCACACUGGGACUGAGACACGGCCCAGACUCCUACGGGAGGCAGCAGUGGGGAAUAUUGCACAAUGGGCGCAAGCCUGAUGCAGCGACGCCGCGUGAGGGAUGAAGGCCUUCGGGUUGUAAACCUCUUUCAGUAGGGAAGAAGCUGAUCCUUUGGGUUGGUGACGGUACCUGCAGAAGAAGCGCCGGCUAACUACGUGCCAGCAGCCGCGGUAAUACGUAGGGCGCAAGCGUUAUCCGGAAUUAUUGGGCGUAAAGAGCUCGUAGGCGGUUUGUCGCGUCUGCCGUGAAAGUCCGGGGCUUAACCCCGGAUCUGCGGUGGGUACGGGCAGACUAGAGUGCAGUAGGGGAGACUGGAAUUCCUGGUGUAGCGGUGAAAUGCGCAGAUAUCAGGAGGAACACCGAUGGCGAAGGCAGGUCUCUGGGCUGUAACUGACGCUGAGGAGCGAAAGCAUGGGGAGCGAACAGGAUUAGAUACCCUGGUAGUCCAUGCCGUAAACGUUGGGCACUAGGUGUGGGGGACAUUCCACGUUUUCCGCGCCGUAGCUAACGCAUUAAGUGCCCCGCCUGGGGAGUACGGCCGCAAGGCUAAAACUCAAGGAAUUGACGGGGCCCGCACAAGCGGCGGAGCAUGCGGAUUAUUCGAUGCACGCGAGANNUACCAGGCUUGACAUGANNGA
RNAcentral lists this ribosomal RNA (945 nucleotides) under Pseudarthrobacter chlorophenolicus. RNAcentral describes it as "bacterial SSU rRNA". It matches the Rfam family "Bacterial small subunit ribosomal RNA", at positions 39 to 993 of the family's 1533-position model. Lineage: Bacteria; Bacillati; Actinomycetota; Actinomycetes; Micrococcales; Micrococcaceae. The record is from RNAcentral.